Gossypium arboreum is the source of this 107-nucleotide small nucleolar RNA. It matches the Rfam family "Plant small nucleolar RNA R71". Rfam says of the family: R71 is a member of the C/D box family of snoRNAs containing the C (UGAUGA) and D (CUGA) box motifs. Multiple nearly identical copies of this snoRNA have been identified in Arabidopsis, and it is thought to function as a 2'-O-ribose methylation guide for 18S ribosomal RNA. NCBI's taxonomy places the organism in Eukaryota, Viridiplantae, Streptophyta, Magnoliopsida, Malvales, Malvaceae. The record is from Rfam.
AACCCAUGAUGAGGGCACCUUAUUAGAAGAUCCUUAAAUCUCUCAUAUACAUCAUAUAAUUUCUUAAGCUCAAUUUGGGUAAAAGAAGAGAUAUUAUUCCUCAACUU